Molecule: transfer RNA, 75 nt
Filed under: Desulfonispora thiosulfatigenes DSM 11270
Lineage: Bacteria; Bacillati; Bacillota; Clostridia; Eubacteriales; Peptococcaceae
Description: tRNA_Gln
Rfam family: tRNA
About the family: Transfer RNA (tRNA) molecules are approximately 80 nucleotides in length. Their secondary structure includes four short double-helical elements and three loops (D, anti-codon, and T loops).
Source: RNAcentral
UGGGAUGUCGCCAAGCGGUAAGGCACAGGACUUUGACUCCUGUAUUCGUUGGUUCAAAUCCAGCCCUCCCAGCCA